UACGUAGGGUGCAAGCGUUUGUCCGGAAUUAUUGGGCGUAAAGGGCUCGUAGGCGGUCUGUCACGUCGGGAGUGAAACUCAGGGCUUAACCCUGAGCCUGCUUCCGAUACGGGCAGACUAGAGGUAUGCAGGGGAGAACGGAAUUCCUGGUGUAGCGGUGAAAUGCGCAGAUAUCAGGAGGAACACCGGUGGCGAAGGCGGUUCUCUGGACCGAGACUGACGCUGAGGCGCGAAAGCGUGGGGAGCAAACAGG
Molecule: ribosomal RNA, 253 nt
Filed under: uncultured bacterium
Lineage: Bacteria
Description: partial 16S ribosomal RNA
Rfam family: Bacterial small subunit ribosomal RNA
Source: RNAcentral